This 30-nucleotide non-coding RNA is filed under the name Rattus norvegicus (Norway rat). The record is from RNAcentral. Lineage: Eukaryota; Metazoa; Chordata; Mammalia; Rodentia; Muridae.
UGGCAAGCAGCAACAUAAGGUUUACUGGUU